GCUUGUAAUCACCUCGCCUUCGGCGACUAAUUGUUAAAUAGAUUGCAGUCCUCUGUCCUCUCCUCCUUUUUUGUAAUGUUCAUUCUCGAUUAUUUUUAGAGAUUCUAUCACUAACAUUAGAGGAGCCGAAAAAACAAAGACAAAAGCGUUGUCAAUGAUUUAGGAUGACCAAAUUCAGUUUGUCACCUCCAAUUUGGAGUUAAAACUAAAUAGUAAUUACAAUAAUUGUGAUAUAUUAACACAUUCAGGAGCAAAGCUAAACACAAGUAUACACAAGAGUAAAAGUUGAUUUUUAAAAGUUAAGUAGUAUUUUAAUUUUUAUAGCAGAAGGAACGAAUCCUGUUAAAUAUACUAAUUAUUAUUUACGGCUAUAUGAUUCACGUUAAAGACUACUCUAAUAUCAUGUAUUUACAUCGUAGUUAAAAUGAAGAUUGAAUUUAUCAAUAGCGAAUACAAGUGCA
Molecule: non-coding RNA, 461 nt
Organism: Paramuricea clavata
Lineage: Eukaryota; Metazoa; Cnidaria; Anthozoa; Malacalcyonacea; Plexauridae
Source: the annotation of a GenBank genome assembly